UUGUGACGUCAUCGCCGCGGGGCGGGGCCGGCGGGGUCGCAAAGAGCUGCGAGUGCAGUGACGCCGGCUGCCGGCUCCCGAGAGCGAUCCCGUGUCCCUGGCCCCCCUUCGCGUGGUCUGUUCGCGUCGAGUCCCGCGCGGAGAUGGCAGACGACCUUGGAGACGAGUGGUGGGAGAAGCAGCCGGCAGGAGCAGACAGCAGCCCAGAUCAAAUGAUGGACCUGAUGCUCCCUGAGUAGAUGUGAGCUUGGCCAAGCCACAUGACUAUUCCAUACUUCAGGAUCUUCAUAUACAAUGUGAGUGGUGGGAAGUAGAUUGUUCACAAGAUCAGUUCUAGUACCACAAUU
Molecule: long non-coding RNA, 347 nt
Filed under: Ictidomys tridecemlineatus (thirteen-lined ground squirrel)
Lineage: Eukaryota; Metazoa; Chordata; Mammalia; Rodentia; Sciuridae
Description: lncRNA (ENSSTOG00000029573.1)
Source: RNAcentral